Molecule: ribosomal RNA, 1109 nt
Filed under: Brevibacterium sp.
Lineage: Bacteria; Bacillati; Actinomycetota; Actinomycetes; Micrococcales; Brevibacteriaceae
Description: bacterial SSU rRNA
Rfam family: Bacterial small subunit ribosomal RNA
Source: RNAcentral
GCGGGGUGCUCGUGCUUACCAUGCAGUCGAACGCUGAAGCCGACAGCUUGCUGUUGGUGGAUGAGUGGCGAACGGGUGAGUAACACGUGAGUAACCUGCCCCUGAUUUCGGGAUAAGCCUGGGAAACUGGGUCUAAUACCGGAUACGACCUCUCGUCGCAUGAUGGUUGGUGGAAAGUUUUUCGAUCGGGGAUGGGCUCGCGGCCUAUCAGCUUGUUGGUGGGGUAAUGGCCUACCAAGGCGACGACGGGUAGCCGGCCUGAGAGGGCGACCGGCCACACUGGGACUGAGACACGGCCCAGACUCCUACGGGAGGCAGCAGUGGGGAAUAUUGCACAAUGGGGGAAACCCUGAUGCAGCGACGCAGCGUGCGGGAUGACGGCCUUCGGGUUGUAAACCGCUUUCAGCAGGGAAGAAGCGAAAGUGACGGUACCUGCAGAAGAAGUACCGGCUAACUACGUGCCAGCAGCCGCGGUAAUACGUAGGGUACGAGCGUUGUCCGGAAUUAUUGGGCGUAAAGAGCUCGUAGGUGGUUGGUCACGUCUGCUGUGGAAACGCAACGCUUAACGUUGCGCGUGCAGUGGGUACGGGCUGACUAGAGUGCAGUAGGGGAGUCUGGAAUUCCUGGUGUAGCGGUGAAAUGCGCAGAUAUCAGGAGGAACACCGGUGGCGAAGGCGGGACUCUGGGCUGUAACUGACACUGAGGAGCGAAAGCAUGGGGAGCGAACAGGAUUAGAUACCCUGGUAGUCCAUGCCGUAAACGUUGGGCACUAGGUGUGGGGGACAUUCCACGUUCUCCGCGCCGUAGCUAACGCAUUAAGUGCCCCGCCUGGGGAGUACGGUCGCAAGGCUAAAACUCAAAGGAAUUGACGGGGGCCCGCACAAGCGGCGGAGCAUGCGGAUUAAUUCGAUGCAACGCGAAGAACCUUACCAAGGCUUGACAUACACUGGACCGUUCUGGAAACAGUUCUUCUCUUUGGAGCUGGUGUACAGGUGGUGCAUGGUUGUCGUCAGCUCGUGUCGUGAGAUGUUGGGUUAAGUCCCGCAACGAGCGCAACCCUCGUUCUAUGUUGCCAGCACGUGAUGGUGGGAACUCAUAGGAGACUGCCG